This is a long non-coding RNA of Mesocricetus auratus (golden hamster), 650 nucleotides long. RefSeq lists it as uncharacterized. The record is from RefSeq and is a predicted model, not a curated record. NCBI's taxonomy places the organism in Eukaryota, Metazoa, Chordata, Mammalia, Rodentia, Cricetidae. The transcript has 2 exons.
CACCUCCCACCGCUUUGCCCAAAUUAUUUUCGAUCCCGGGAGACUCCGGAUGCCAGACGCGCUCGGCGGCGGCGGCGGCCGUGCCUGAUUCAUUGCGCCAAAGCUGCAGAUGCGACCUCCCGCCUGCGCCCCGUGCCCCGGCCCGCUCUGGGCUGGGCGCGCGCCUUAGAGAGUGCACGGUCACCAUGGCAACCGCGGAGGAGGUCACGGUAGCUGGGCCCCCGCGCGUCACCCCGCGCCUCGCCGGCUGCAGGCGCCCGGAUUGCGGCCUCCCAGGCGCCGUGGCCCUCGUGGACUCAGCGCCGUUCUCCGCCCCCGCUCCGCCCUGCCCGCAGCUCAGGCCCCCUCCACAGGACUCUGCCGAGUCCCAACCGGGAAUGUAGCACCUGGGCGCCAGUGCGCUCAACUAUGCUCGGGCCAUCCCUCCCACCACCCCCACCCUCCGCUUUGGCACGCGGGACUGCACCAUGAAACACGUGCCCAACACCAAGAUAGGAACAUGUGCCUCUCUUGCCGAGGGGCUCACCGCUCUUAAGGAUGCCCUGGGGAAUCGACCUAUAUUUGGUGCACAACUCCGCUGUCCUUGCCAAAACAGACCUCCGGUAUAGCUAAAAGGGCCAGAUGUAGCAGCAGAGCCUAGCUCUGCCUAG